GUUUUCAAAGGAACGCUGGUACCGCAUACGUCCUACUGUUGAAAGUGGGGGAUCUUCAGACCUCACGCUAUCAGAUGAUCCUAGGUCGAAUUACCCACUUGGUGAGGUAAAGGCUCACCGGUGCCACCAUCCCUAAGUGGUCUGACAGGACCAUCCUUCGACUUGAACUGACACACGGUCCCUACUCCUACGGGAGGCCUCCUUGGGGAAUAUUGGACAAUGGGCCAAACCCUGAUCCAGCCAUGCCGCGUGUGUGAAGAAGGUCUUCUGAUUGUAAAUUUCUUUAAGUUGGGAGGAAGGGCAGUAAGUUAAUACCUUGCUGUUUUGACGUUACCAACAGAAUAAGCACCGGCUAACUUCGUGCCAGCAACCGCGGUAAUACGAACGGUGCAAGCGUUAAUCGGAAUUACUGGGCGUAAAAUUCGCGUAGGUGGUUCGUUAAGUUGGAUGUGAUAGCCCCGGGCUCAACCUGCGAACUGCAUCCAAAACUGGCGAGCUAGAGUAUGGCAGACUGUGGUGGAAUUUCCUGUGUAGCAGUGAAAUGCGUAGAUAUAAGAAGGAACACCAUUGGCGAAAGCGACCACGUGGGCUGAUACUGACACUGAUGUGCGAAAGCGUGGGGAGCAAAACACGAUUGAGAUACCCUGGUAGUCCACGCCGUAAACGAUCGUCGACUAAACCGUUGGAGAUCCUUGAGGAU
Molecule: ribosomal RNA, 700 nt
Filed under: Pseudomonas sp. ram bt-1
Lineage: Bacteria; Pseudomonadati; Pseudomonadota; Gammaproteobacteria; Pseudomonadales; Pseudomonadaceae
Description: bacterial SSU rRNA
Rfam family: Bacterial small subunit ribosomal RNA
Source: RNAcentral